This 1579-nucleotide long non-coding RNA is filed under the name Gossypium barbadense (sea-island cotton). RNAcentral describes it as "long non-coding RNA (GBAR_LNC006108)". The record is from RNAcentral. Lineage: Eukaryota; Viridiplantae; Streptophyta; Magnoliopsida; Malvales; Malvaceae.
UCAAACUGAGUUGGUAUCAUAGGUUAACCAAGUAUGAACUCAAUUGGGAAAAAACUAAUAUACCUUUUUUAUUGAUAACUAACAUUAUUAUAGUGUUCAUUAUCUUUUCAUAUUUUUAUAUAAUAUUUUUAAUGUUUAAAUAAAAUAAAAGAACUAAAAAUCACAUAUCCAAGAAUUGGAACAUGUUUAUUAAAAUUUAUAUACAAAUUCUUUAUCACUUCCCCUAUAUAAUUUAAUAUUUUUAUGCUAAAUACAAUAUGUAGAUGGCCCAUUUAGCCCCGGUCCCAAACCAAUACUAAAAUUAAAACAAAAUACCCUCAGACCCAAUUCAAUCAAGCCCAAUACAAACCUAAUCCUAAAACCCAUUUACAAUGCGGCCCAAUUGGCCUAAAGCUUAAACAACUUCAAAAAAAAAACCCCUAAGUAGACCACCCUUGAGCUGCAGCCAGCAUUGCGCCUCCCCCGCACAUCGCGCGUUUCCUCCGUGUUGUACGCUCCUCCACCAAGCCACGUCAGAGACGUGCUCGAUCACGCACCUGCAAUAGUUGAAAACAGUUGUAAAAAUCGGCUAUAAGACCGACUCAAAUUGAGUGUAAAAGGGGUUUUUUUUCAGAGAAAAUAUUACGAAUACAAAGGAAAUACAGUGGAAAAGGAAAAACUUCAGAUCUAAAAUAUUUCGAAGGUGAUUUUUUUAUUUUGGUUCUCUAUUGCUUCAUUUCAUCCUUUUUUUUGUUGUUAUUUUUAUUUUUUUUCAUACAAACGAAAAUAAAAAGGGAAAGGAAAAAGAAUUUACCUGAACCCCCAACCGCAGCGCCGGAGAGUGGUUGAAAGGCUCAAAAGUGGCGAUCGAACUACUUCUCUUUGACCUGUAGAAGAAGAGUAAGAGGAAGGGGGGGAGUUUAAAAAGGGAUAAUCCCUUGUUUUUAAGCAGUAAUGAAAAUAAGGGAUAAUCUUUUUCUUUUUGGUUUUAAAAAACAAAUUAAAUGGCUUCAUUUAAGAAAAGGGCUCUGCCCAUUGGCCUGAUCCAUGCGCGCAUUUUUACCCUAAAUGGGUAAAUUGCGCAUCUGGUUCCUCACUUUUGCGUUAUUAUGUGAUUGGGCCCUUUUUGCAUGUCUUUUGUUUUUUAAAUUUUCCCUGGGAUUUAUGUGUUGUUACGGUUUAGUCCAUGUUGAAAUGCUGCAUUUAGGGGCAUGGGAUAAUUUUAUUUUUAGUCCCUAUAAGUUUGCGCGCAUUGUAUUAUAGUCCUCAGUGCUGUAAAUUAACCUUUUGAUUUUAUUUUCUUUUAAAUCGGUCCUUUUUUUUUUGUUUCUUUUUUAUUCAUUUCAAUUGAUUUUUUUUUAUAAAUUCAUUAUCUGUUUUAAUAUAUAUUAUUGGAAUUAUAUUGAAUGUAUUAUGAUUGCAUUAUUUAGUUGUAUAUAUGUAUAUGUAUAUGUAUAUAUUUGCACUUACUUUCAAAUCUAUUUAUAUCUAAUAUUUUUUUUAAAAUCCUAUUUUACUACUUUUUUUAUAUCUUUUAAGCAUUCUCAUCUAUUAUUAUUUUACAUAUAUGUAUUAUUUAUAUUAAGUUUUUCACUUUAUA